Cercocebus atys (sooty mangabey) is the source of this 1475-nucleotide long non-coding RNA. RefSeq lists it as uncharacterized. The transcript is spliced from 4 exons. NCBI's taxonomy places the organism in Eukaryota, Metazoa, Chordata, Mammalia, Primates, Cercopithecidae. The record is from RefSeq and is a predicted model, not a curated record.
AUGGACUUCAUCAGUGCCGGAGUGUGAGGCACUUUGUAUCUUGGAGCCAUAACCAGAAAGCAAAGCCUACAGUAGACCUUUUUCAAACUUUCUGUGUGGUUUGCACGUUCGUCCACUGCACCGAGGUAGCAUUUCUUCUCAUUAUGACUCCUGGGGUUGUCCACCUGCCUCCGGUUCCCAAAACCCUGCGGGUGUGGAAGCUGUGAGAUGCAGAAACUGAGGCCCAGGACCACACACUGACACCAAGUGGACUAGUAGGAUUCAGGCCAUUGACCAUAUUCUUCCAACUUCAGGAGCAACAGUACCUGGAGGACCCAAAUUUGCUGUCAUCCUCCACGAGGCCUCAGCAGUCUCCAACAUGGAGGGGCACUGAGCCAGCCUAGGGGUUUCCAGGGACCUUCCUGACUGAACACUGGAAAGACCCUUUCAUUCAUCCUGUCCCCCAGGUGGGACCCCAUGCCCUGAGGUGGAACAGAGGUGAAGAGGAAGGGGAGUGGCUCCUGUGCGUUUUAAUACAAAUGAAUUUAAGUUGUCUCCUGAAGGACUCAGUUCCUUGGGCCCAAACUUCUCCAGUCUCUCACGAAAGGGGAUGAACUGCCUCAGAUAAAGUGCUAAUCUUCAGCCUCGAAGUCCUCGAAAGGGCCCUUUCCAUGUUGCUGGGCUGUGAAAGGCUGAAGGAGGUGGAGCUGGGGAGGAAGAGGAAGAUCUAGAGGUCUGAGAGAGCCUCAACUGAGUAGAGAGCAGCCUGGGUUCCGAAGUCCUGGCCCCAGUGGUGUGUAGCCAUGUGACUUUAGAUCAGGCCCUUGACUUCUCCAAGCUACUGUGUGCACAGCUAUCAAAUGGGAAUAAUAACAGUAUUGACCUCAUGGGUGGUUAUGAGGCUUUACUGAGAUGGUACAAUGUCAAGGACUUAGCACAUUGCCUGACACGUAACACUCAGUAAAUGCCACCCUGACUGCAUUUAAUUUGGGAAGCCAGACCCUUACCUACCCAAGGGCUGUGAUGGUAGCAAGCCCACCUGCAGCCAUCCUCAGAGGGCAGGUGGAGAGCGAAGCCACGCCCCAGAGCCACGGACUCCAGAAUGCCUGUCAUGGACUCUGUGCCUAGACCUGUUACUUGAUUAGGACUUCUGACCCCAGCUUCUCCCCCAUUUGCCCUGUCACACCAUCCCUUAAGUGUCCUGUUGCCCCCUCUUGACCCUUCCUCCCACCCCAAUUCCAUUCAUCACAGCCCACUUGUGGUGGCAGAACUGAGAUGCCCAAGGCACCAAGCUCAUGUUGCCACUGUUUGUCGCCCUCUGUGCCUUACAACAAUGUGGGACCUGGGGAUUCUAAACCACCACACUCACCGAUUCUCUCAAUCAAUCCCCAUGACCAUCUCCAUGCCUCCAAGCCCCUCUCUGUCAGCCCAGAGGGGAAGAUGCCCGCAAGGUCUCUGGCUCCUUAGUGCAGAGCGGGGUCUACACCAGGUGCACA